RNAcentral lists this long non-coding RNA (3180 nucleotides) under Homo sapiens (human). RNAcentral's name for it is "HSALNT0044671". The record is from RNAcentral. Lineage: Eukaryota; Metazoa; Chordata; Mammalia; Primates; Hominidae.
GUGCUGGGAAGGGACGAGCAUGGUCCCUUUAAAUGAUACCGAACGGGGGACAGGGAAGUGCUGGGUAGAGCAAGGCCGGUUCCUGGCUAGGGCUUCACCCUCUGGCUUGUGCCCACGAACCUAGGUGAGGACAGGCACUCCUGCCUUUGGGCCCAAAUGUUGCAUUUUCCAAAACCACCCUGGCCCACCACACCCCCAUCCUGGGCGGAUAAAAACUGAGACCCUAGCAGGCAGAUAGAUACACAAGCGUCUGGACGUCCAGAGGAGGGGAUCAGCGGAAGAAGACACAAGCAGCCGGACAUCGAGAGGAUGUCGAGGGGAGCAUGCCAGUGGAAGAGCACAUGACAGACACUGGCAGGACAGCAGGCCAUUGACUGGAGGAACGAUGUGGAGUUUAGCGAGAUCAGGAGGAGGAGAGCACGGGCCGCUAAGCAGAGGGACCCCUGGUGCAUCUCCCAUCUGGCUCCCCCAUCUGCUGAGAACUACUUCUACUCAGUAAAACCUCGGACUCAUUCUCCAAGCCCUCGCGUGAUCUGGUUCUUCCGGUACACCACGGCAGGAAACCCUGGGAUACAGAAAUCCCUCCGUCCUUGUGGAUUUUAGAAUGCCAAGCUGACAUUUUGAGUUUUUAUGAGAAACCAGAAAAUUUGGUGUGAAGACCCUAAGUGGUGUGUCUGACUUACAGCAGGCCCACAGCAAAUACAUUGGAGACUUCUCAACUUUCUGCUUCUGAUGAUCUCAACUUGUGGUAUGGCAAAAGGAGAGCAAAAUGUUCACCCAGAUGACAUCGUGAUCAACUCCUCUGAAUCACUCUAAAGGAACGAGAAGUCCUGGCAGCUGAGUCAUGAUCCCCCAGGAGCCAUUAAGAAGUUAAUCUUCAGUCACUUCCAUCCAAACAGAAGAAAACCCAUGAAGGAUGAGAACUAUGGGUCCUGAGAAUGACAGGUAUUGAAGACAGGAUUUAUCUUCUCUACUUCUUCUUUUAGAAGCAGAUCAAGAAACUGGCGAUUGAAGAGUAACUGAAAGAAACGCAAUCUGAUCUUACUAGCAGUGAAAGAGCGAGUCUCCCUCUGAUGCCGAGCAGAAGCUAGACUGUACUGCUGCCAUCUCAGCUCACUGCAACCUCCCUGCCUGAUUCUCCUGCCUCAGCCUGCUGAGUGCCUGCAAUUGCAGGCGCGCCGCCACGCCUGACUGGUUUUCGUAUUUUUUUGGUGGAGACGGGGAUUCGCUGUGUUGGCCGGGCUGGUCUCCAGCUCCUAACCGCGAGUGAUCCACCAGCCUCGGCCUCCUGAGGUGCCGGGAUUGCAGACGGAGUCUGGUUCACUCAGUGCUCAAUGGCGCCCAGACUGGAGUGCAGUGGCGUGAUCUCAGCUCGCUACAACCUCCACCUCCCAGCCGCCUCCCUUGGCCUCCCAAAGUGCAGAGAUUGCAGCCUCUGCCCGGCCGCCACCCCGCCUGGGAAGUGAGGAGCGUCUCUGCCUGGCCGCCCAUUGUCUGGGAUGUGAGGAGCCCCUCUGCCUGGCUGCCCAGUCUGGAAAGUGAGGAGUGUCUCUGCCUGGCCGCCAUCCCAUCUAGGAAGUGAGGAGCGCCUCUUCCCGGCCGCCAUCCCAUCUAGGAAGUGAGGAGCCUCUCUGCCCAGCCGCCCAUCGUCUGAGAUGUGGGGAGCGCCUCUGCCCCGCCGCCCCGUCUGGGAUGUGAGGAGCGCCUCUACCCCGCCGCGACCCCGUCUGGGAGGUGAGGAGCGUCUCUGCCCGGCGGCCCCGUCUGGGAAGUGAGGAGACCCUCCGCCCGGCAGCCGCCCCAUCUGAGAAGUGAGGAGCCCCUCUGCCCAGCAGCCACCCUGUCUGGGAAGUGAGGAGCGUCUCUGCCCAGCAGCCACCCCGUCUGGGAGGGAGGUGGGGGGUCAGCCCCCCGCCCGGCCAGCCGCCCCGUCCGGGAGGUGAGGGGCGCCUCUGCCCGGCGGCCCCUACUGGGAAGUGAGGAGCCCCUCUGCCCGGCCAGCCGCCCCGUCUGGGAAGUGAGGAGCGUCUCCGCCCAGCAGCCACCCCGUCCGGGAGGGAGGUGGGGGGAUCAGCCCCCCGCCCGGCCAGCCGCCCAGUCCGGGAGGGAGGUGGGGGGGUCAGCCCCCCGCCCGGCCAGCCGCCCCGUCCGGGAGGUGAGGGGUGCCUCUGCCCGGCCGCCCCUACUGGGAAGUGAGGAGCCCCUCUGCCCGGCCAGCCGCCCGGUCCGGGAGGGAGGUGGGGGGGUCAGCCCCCUGCCUGGCAAGCCGCCCCGUCUGGGAGGGAGGUGGGGGGAUCAGCCCCCCGCCGGGCCAGCCACCCCGUCCGGGAGGUGAGGGGUGCCUCUGCCCGGCCGCCCCUACUGGGAAGUGAGGAGCCCCUCUGCCCGGCCAGCCGCCCCAUCCGGGAGUGAGGUGGGGGGGUCAGCCCCCUGCCCGGCCAGCCGCCCCGUCCGGGAGGUGAGGGGCGCCUCUGCCCGGCCGCCCCUACUGGGAAGUGAGGAGCCCCUCUGCCCGGCCACCACCCCGUCUGGGAGGUGUACCCAACAGCUCAUUGAGAACGGGCCAUGAUGACAAUGGCGGUUUUGUGGAAUAGAAAGCGGGGAAAGGUGGGGAAAAGAUUGAGAAAUCGGAUGGUUGCCGUGUCUGUGUAGAAAGAGGUAGACAUGGGAGACUUUUCAUUUUGUUCUGUACUAAGAAAAAUUCUUAUCCUGUUGAUCUGUGACCUUACCCCCAACCCCGUGCUCUCUGAAACAUGUGCUGUGUCCACUCAGGGCUAAAUGGAUUAAGGGCGGUGCAAGAUGUGCUUUGUUAAACAGAUGCUUGAAGGCAGCAUGCUCGUUGAGAGUCAUCACCACUCCCUAAUCUCAAGUAACCAGGGACACAAACACUGUGGAAGGCCGCAGGGUCCUCUGCCUAGGAAAACCAGAGACCUUUGUUCACUUGUUUAUCUGCUGACCUUCCCUCCACUAUUGUCCUAUGACCCUGCCAAAUCCCCCUCUGCGAGAAACACCCAAGAAUGAUCAAUAAAAAAAUAAAAUAAAAUAAAAUAAAAUAAAAUAAAUAAAGUUUCAUGCGCAUCCGUGUGAAGAGACCACCAAACAGGCUUUGUGUGAGCAGCAUGGCUGUUUAUUUCACCUGGGUGCAGGCGGGCUGAGUCCGAAAAGAGAGUCAGCCAAGGG